CAGCCGCCGCGGUAAUACGGAGGGAGCUAGCGUUGUUCGGAAUUACUGGGCGUAAAGCGCACGUAGGCGGCUUUGUAAGUUAGAGGUGAAAGCCCGGGGCUCAACUCCGGAGCUGCCUUUAAGACUGCAUCGCUUGAAUCAUGGAGAGGCGGGUGGAAUUCCGAGUGUAGAGGUGAAAUUCGUAGAUAUUCGGAAGAACACCAGUGGCGAAGGCGGCCCGCUGGACAUGUAUUGACGCUGAGGUGCGAAAGCGUGGGGAGCAAACAGGAUUAGAUACCCGCGUAGUCCCUGUCUCUUAUAC
Molecule: ribosomal RNA, 301 nt
Filed under: uncultured bacterium
Lineage: Bacteria
Description: partial 16S ribosomal RNA
Rfam family: Bacterial small subunit ribosomal RNA
Source: RNAcentral